RNAcentral lists this ribosomal RNA (492 nucleotides) under uncultured bacterium. RNAcentral describes it as "partial 16S ribosomal RNA". It matches the Rfam family "Bacterial small subunit ribosomal RNA", at positions 29 to 507 of the family's 1533-position model. The record is from RNAcentral.
AGUGAACGCUGGCGGUAGGCCUAACACAUGCAAGUCGAACGGCAGCACAGUAAGAGCUUGCUCUUACGGGUGGCGAGUGGCGGACGGGUGAGGAAUACAUCGGAAUCUACUUUUUCGUGGGGGAUAACGUAGGGAAACUUACGCUAAUACCGCAUACGACCUACGGGUGAAAGCAGGGGAUCUUCGGACCUUGCGCGAUUGAAUGAGCCGAUGUCGGAUUAGCUAGUUGGCGGGGUAAAGGCCCACCAAGGCGACGAUCCGUAGCUGGUCUGAGAGGAUGAUCAGCCACACUGGAACUGAGACACGGUCCAGUCUCCUACGGGAGGCAGCAGUGGGGAAUAUUGGACAAAGGGCGCAAGCCUGAUCCAGCCAUACCGCGUGGGUGAAGAAGGCCUUCGGGUUGUAAAGCCCUUUUGUUGGGAAAGAAAAGCAGCAGGUUAAUACCCCGCUGUUCUGACGGUACCCAAAGAAUAAGCACCGGCUAACUUCGUG